UACGUAGGGGGCAAGCGUUAUCCGGAUUUACUGGGUGUAAAGGGAGCGUAGACGGCCAGACAAGUCUGAAGUGAAAAUCCAGCGCUUAACGUUGGAAGUGCUUUGGAAGCUGCCGGGCUAGAGUGCAGGAGGGGCAGGCGGAAUUCCUAGUGUAGCGGUGAAAUGCGUAGAUAUUAGGAGGAACACCAGUGGCGAAGGCGGCCUGCUGGACUGCAACUGACGUUGAGGCUCGAAGGCGUGGGGAGCAAACAGG
Molecule: ribosomal RNA, 253 nt
Filed under: uncultured bacterium
Lineage: Bacteria
Description: partial 16S ribosomal RNA
Rfam family: Bacterial small subunit ribosomal RNA
Source: RNAcentral